Long non-coding RNA from Hyla sarda, 522 nucleotides. RefSeq lists it as uncharacterized. NCBI's taxonomy places the organism in Eukaryota, Metazoa, Chordata, Amphibia, Anura, Hylidae. The record is from RefSeq and is a predicted model, not a curated record. The transcript has 3 exons.
AGUCUUCUCACUGCAGUUCAUCUAACUAGGCUGCUGUUGAUGGAGUGGGUUGAGAGAGCACCAGCUAACUAGAUGACCUGCAGAUUGACCUAUGGGCUUCGGGCUCAGCCCCCUUUAAAAGAGGGGGAGCCAUUGCAAUCUCUCUCUUUGCUCUUCUACCACCCUUCCUACUGAGGCACAGUAAAGACCAGACGAGCCAGUGUCCAGCACAUCUGGAGGCAUCAAGCCUACCUACAGCCACAUGCCACUGUGCUCUGUGUAUGACACAUCAAACCAGUCAGGCUUGGAAGCGUAAAAUUAAGAUCCUUAAAAGACGUUCUUCAUCUGUCAGGGUUGUGUUUAUGACUUAAAGAUGAUACAUUUUUAGGAAAGUAAUCACAAGACAGAAAAGCCUCGGAGAGAAGCUGCAGGAUGAUGUUGGCGGAGGGAGCUCUGGAGUAUGUUUUCAGACGUCUUGGCACUGGUUUGUUCUUAAACACUAUUGCGGCUCUUUAAUGAAAUAAAAGUCAUCUUUAUUCUGUU